RNAcentral lists this transfer RNA (72 nucleotides) under Camelus bactrianus (Bactrian camel). It matches the Rfam family "tRNA". From Rfam's summary of the family: Transfer RNA (tRNA) molecules are approximately 80 nucleotides in length. RNAcentral also lists the same sequence under 2 other names. Lineage: Eukaryota; Metazoa; Chordata; Mammalia; Artiodactyla; Camelidae. The record is from Rfam by way of RNAcentral.
AAGGGUAUAGCUCAGUGGUAGAGUGCAUGCUUAGCAUGCACAAGGUCCUGGGUUCAAACUCCAGUACCUCUA